RNAcentral lists this ribosomal RNA (520 nucleotides) under uncultured Glomus. Its description in RNAcentral is "SSU rRNA". It matches the Rfam family "Eukaryotic small subunit ribosomal RNA", at positions 569 to 1091 of the family's 1831-position model. The record is from RNAcentral. Lineage: Eukaryota; Fungi; Glomeromycota; Glomeromycetes; Glomerales; Glomeraceae.
AGCAGCCGCGGUAAUUCCAGCUCCAAUAGCGUAUAUUAAAGUUGUUGCAGUUAAAAAGCUCGUAGUUGAAUUUCGGGGUUAGUAGGUUGGUCGUGCCUUUGGUAUGUACUGGUCUCACUGAUUCCUCCUUCUUGAAGAACUGUAAUGUCAUUAAUUUGGUGUUGCAGGGAAACAGGACUGUUACUUUGAAAAAAUUAGAGUGUUUAAAGCAGGCUAACGCCUGAAUACAUUAGCAUGGAAUAAUGAAAUAGGACGUUUGAUCCUAUUUUGUUGGUUUCUAGGAUUGACGUAAUGAUUAAUAGGGAUAGUUGGGGGCAUUAGUAUUCAAUUGUCAGAGGUGAAAUUCUUGGAUUUAUUGAAGACUGACUACUGCGAAAGCAUUUGCCAAGGAUGUUUUCAUUAAUCAAGAACGAAAGUUAGGGGAUCGAAGACGAUCAGAUACCGUCGUAGUCUUAACCAUAAACUAUGCCGACUAGGGAUCGGAUGAUGUUAAUUUUUAAUGACUCAUUCGGUGCCUUAC